UGCGAUGAUUGCACAGUGCACAAUACAUCCGCAGAUUUGCGGACUGGAGAAGGGGAAGAAGAAAAAGCUGGCAUAUACGACACGAGUAUAUGUUUCAUCUCCGUUAUUACGUACAAUAGAUAUAUAUACUCUACUAUUACGCGAUCGCAGAAAGUCCACGCAGAAUGCCGCUGAUUGUGUCAACCAUCGACGUCGGCAGUAGACAGUUCCUCAUUCGUGCCUCUCUCUUUCUCCUCCUCUCCAUCUUAAAUCUCCCACUUAAUCGUCGCUACCACCACCAUCUCGGCACGACGUGAUGGCAUUUGACUCAUCCGCUCUUGUCUUGGCUAACCUGACUUUAUGCUCCAAAGGCUACGCGAUAGUUCAAUCGUCGCGCCAGGGCUGCCAGAACAGUGCAGCUAGUAACGCACGUACGCGAGCUCGACUCUCGACUGUCGACACCGAGUGCAUCGAGAUGGCACCGGCCCUCAGCAAAUUCGCCACCAGACGUACCCUGGCCGGCGCGGUCGCGGUCAGCACGCUUAUCUGGAUACUAAGGAAUCGUAGCAGGUGGACGAGUAAGAAGACCAAGAACCAAUGGCCUAUUAACAAUGACAUUCAGUACAUUAUCAAGGAGCAAAAAUCAAAGAGUCCCAAGGCACAGGUCAAUGCCGUCUUCUUCCGUAGGCUCUAUCAACUACUUAAAAUCGGUAUCCCUGGUGUAUUAUCACCAGAGUUUGGUUUUCUAUUCCUGGUGGCGACCGCCCUAAUUGGCAGGACUCUGUGUGACUUAUGGCUUAUCAACAAGGCUACUUUGUUAGAAACGUCAAUUGUCAACAUGAACCAUCUAUUAUUCAGACGAUAUUUGCUCCAUUUAUUUGGUAUGGUUCCAAUGAUAGCGAUCGUGAACAACAUAUUGAAAUAUGCUUUAAGCGAAAUGAAAUUAAGAUUGCGUACGAAUAUCACGCGUAAUUUAAUGGAUGAUUAUCUUAAAGGCUUUACCUAUUAUAAAAUGAGUAAUCUGGAUAGCCGAAUCGCGAAUCCGGAUCAGCUGUUAACUACAGAUAUCGAUAAAUUCUGUGAAAGCUGUACAGAUCUUUACAGUAAUAUUGCGAAGCCUCUAUUGGACAUUGGUCUUUACGUAUACAGAUUAACAGCUACUAUUGGCGGACAGACGCCACUUUUUAUACUCUCGUAUUUAGUGAUAGCUGGUACCUGCUUGACUCAUCUUCGCAAACCUAUCGGAACAAUGACGGUCAAAGAGCAACGAUUAGAAGGAGAAUAUCGUCAUAUCAAUUCAAGGUUAAUCGUUAACUCGGAAGAGAUAGCGUUUUAUGGAGGAAACAACAGGGAAAAAUUGACGCUGUUAACUAGCUUUCAUAAACUUGUGACUCAUCUUCGUAAAUUCUUGGAAUUUAAAGCCUUGAUGGGCGUUGUAGAUAAUUAUGUUGGAAAAUAUUUUGCCACCAUAGUCGGCUUCUACGCAGUGAGCAUACCUUUCUUCCAGGAGAAUCACUCUGUACUCUCCGGCACGCCCGAUCACAGAUUCAGAUUGUAUUACACGUACGGCCGGAUGCUGGUGAAAUUGGCUGAGGCGAUCGGCCGAUUGAUAGUGGCCGGCAGGGAAUUGACGCGUUUGGCGGGAUUCACAGCGCGGGUCACUGAGAUCAAACUGGUUCUUGACGAUUUAAACGCCGGGAAAUACGAGCGAACAAUGAUCUCAGAUUACAAAGACAAAGUGAUCGGUUAUCCUGGUAAAGGCAAAAUUGUACCACGCGACAACAUUAUACGGUUCGACAAUGUUCCCCUGAUGACGCCGAACGGAGACAUACUCAUCAAGGAGCUAUCCUUUGAAGUGAAAUCGGGAAUGAAUGUACUGAUUUGCGGUCCAAAUGGUUGCGGCAAGAGCUCUAUGUUUAGAAUUCUCGGCGAACUGUGGCCGAUUUGGUCUGGAACUAUUACAAAACCACCGCGUGGUAAGCUCUUUUACAUUCCGCAACGUCCUUACAUGACACUGGGUACAUUGAGAGACCAGAUCAUAUAUCCUCACACGAAGGAAGAGAUGAAAAGACGUGGUAACAUUAAUGAUGAGGACUUGAAAAAGUUUCUAGAGCUGGUACAAUUGACUCAUCUAUUGGACAGGGAGAAUCUCGUCAAUGAAAAAGAGGGUUGGGACGCAGUGGCUGAUUGGAUGGACGUCUUAUCAGGCGGCGAGAAGCAACGUAUAGCAAUGGCUCGACUAUUUUAUCACAAACCGCAAUUCGCAAUUCUGGACGAGUGCACGAGUGCUGUCAGUGUCGACGUCGAAGAUUCUAUGUACAGAUACUGCAGACAAGAGAACAUCACGCUAUUCACAGUCUCACAUCGUCGUUCCCUUUGGAAGCAUCACGAGUACUACUUACACAUGGAUGGCCGCGGAAGCUACGAGUUCAAACCGAUCGAGCAAGACACGAUAGAAUUCGGGUCGUGAAUUCUUGCAUUUCUGCACACGCGGAAAUGCGUUAGUACGCAAGAGAUAUCUAUUUAGUUUUCUUUUUCCUUUUAGUUUACGAUUAUUCAACAAUUCCAACAAUUUAAUAGACGACAUUUUAUCUGUUAAUCAGCAAUUUUUGAUGCCUUGAUACAGAAUGUACAUGUACUGUACAGAAUGUAUGUAUUAUACAAAUGGAAUAGUGAUAAACGGCGUUAUCGCGAUCAUUUUCAGCGCUAUCAUAAAUUUUUUCGCGUAGAUACAUAAUCAAAUCUGUCAUGCACAAAGAUAUAUUGCACAAAAGUAUAUUAUAUUUUUCGAUUAUUAUUUUUCUACAAGAUAAUAUAUUUUUGAUAAUGUCGUUGUCGAAGACACAUCGAGCUUGGAACGUAUGUGAUGUUAUCAUGUAUAUAUGAUACUUUUAGAUUUUCAGAUCCCUUAAGGCAUGGUGGAAGUAUAUUAAGUAUACUCGUUUUCAAGACGAAUUUCGUACCGUUCUGCGCAUAACCAGAUAUGGCCAUUUUAAACAUUUGCAUCGCGGUAACUUUGAAGUGACGCAAAAUAAUAUUUCGCGAAAAUGAGUAUGUGUCAAAUAAAAACGUG
Molecule: RNA transcript, 3052 nt
Organism: Atta colombica
Lineage: Eukaryota; Metazoa; Arthropoda; Insecta; Hymenoptera; Formicidae
Gene: Pmp70
Gene name: ATP-binding cassette sub-family D member 3
Exons: 13
Source: RefSeq, a predicted model, not a curated record